ACAUGCAGUCGAAUGAAGCACUUUAUUUGAUUUCCUUCGGGACUGAUUAUUUUGUGACUGAGUGGCGGACGGGUGAGUAACGCGUGGGUAACCUGCCUUGUACAGGGGGAUAACAGUUGGAAACGGCUGCUAAUACCGCAUAAGCGCACAGUAUCGCAUGAUGCAGUGUGAAAAACUCCGGUGGUAUAAGAUGGACCCGCGUUGGAUUAGCUAGUUGGUGAGGUAACGGCUCACCAAGGCGACGAUCCAUAGCCGACCUGAGAGGGUGACCGGCCACAUUGGGACUGAGACACGGCCCAAACUCCUACGGGAGGCAGCAGUGGGGAAUAUUGCACAAUGGGCGAAAGCCUGAUGCAGCGACGCCGCGUGAGCGAAGAAGUAUUUCGGUAUGUAAAGCUCUAUCAGCAGGGAAGAUAAUGACGGUACCUGACUAAGAAGCACCGGCUAAAUACGUGCCAGCAGCCGCGGUAAUACGUAUGGUGCAAGCGUUAUCCGGAUUUACUGGGUGUAAAGGGAGCGCAGGCGGUGCGGCAAGUCUGAUGUGAAAGCCCGGGGCUCAACCCCGGUACUGCAUUGGAAACUGU
Molecule: ribosomal RNA, 584 nt
Filed under: uncultured bacterium
Lineage: Bacteria
Description: bacterial SSU rRNA
Rfam family: Bacterial small subunit ribosomal RNA
Source: RNAcentral